UAACUGGAAUCAUAGUUUGUGGCCCUUUCAGACUGGCUAUUAAAUACUUUCACUUAGCAACAUGCCUUUAAGUUUCCUGCAUGUCUUUUUGUGAUAGCUCAUUUUUUUUAUUGCUGAAUAAUUUCCCACUGUAUGAUUGUACUGAAAAUUGUUUAUACAAUCACCUAUUGAAGACCAUGUUAUUUGCUUCUAACUUUUGGAAAUCAUGAAGAAAGCUGCUAUAAAUUUUCAUGUACAGAACUUUGUUUGGACAUAAGUCUUCAACUCAGAGCCUGAUUAUGUGAGUAGAAAGGAUGGUACCACCUUCACACCUGGCCCUUGGAAGCCUCUAUGUGCCUGUCACCAGCUUUUUCAAAUUCCUUAUGACUGGGAUGGAUUCUACCCUCAGGGAACAUCCAAAAACAUGUGUUGAAGAUACUGGAGUUCCUGGAUCCUAACAUAAACAAAAGGCUCCUCAUGCCUUCCCCCCAGUGUACGAGCCAAAAAUAAACGUGCUGGUUUUGAAGCAUUA
Lemur catta (Ring-tailed lemur) is the source of this 511-nucleotide long non-coding RNA. RefSeq lists it as uncharacterized. NCBI's taxonomy places the organism in Eukaryota, Metazoa, Chordata, Mammalia, Primates, Lemuridae. The record is from RefSeq and is a predicted model, not a curated record. The transcript is spliced from 2 exons.